CCUGUUUCACUCCAAAAAAAAAAAAAUUUACGUCAAGCGAGAUACUGAUAAGCGGCACAUUACAACGGCUAUAAAUGACAAAAGAGCCAUGCAAGUACCCGACUCUUCUUCUCAGUCCUUCAGAAGCAGAACUCACACUGUCUUCUGCUUUGGGAGUUCUGCUGCUCGAAGUAUCAGCCCCAUGUUCCUCAGGUGUUUGCACAUCAGACUGGAUCAUUGAUAUGUUAAUCAUACAAAUAGAAGCCGCUGCUCGAAGUCUCGGCCACAGGUUCCUCAGGUGUUUGCACAUCAGACUGGAUUUGAUAAAACGACAAUAGCAGAUCAUUGAUAUAUUAAUCAUAUACAAAUAGAAGCAAAAACAUUUUUGACAGACUACUUGCAUAUGACUAUAACAAGUUGAUCUAAUAUAAGUUGAAAGAUAGACUCCAGAAGAGAAGAUUGAACCACGUUCAAAGACAUCAAAAGAACGGAGUUAUGGAAACAACAGUAGCAGUAAGGCCAAAAGAAUGGUGAAGUCUGAAAUGCUGAGCACUAUGGACUAACAGAGCAAAUAAUGCACUAAAUUUCAAUGACAGCCUAUUGAUAAAAAAUAUGCCAGCUCUUUUAUAUUCCGUAAGGUGAAUCGGAAUGAUAAAUCACAAA
Molecule: long non-coding RNA, 642 nt
Filed under: Nicotiana benthamiana
Lineage: Eukaryota; Viridiplantae; Streptophyta; Magnoliopsida; Solanales; Solanaceae
Description: long non-coding RNA (NBEN_LNC010719)
Source: RNAcentral